UAGGGAAUCUUCCACAAUGGGCGAAAGCCUGAUGGAGCAACGCCGCGUGCAGGAUGAAGGCCUUCGGGUUGUAAACUGCUUUUCUACAUGAUGAAUAUGACAGUAAUGUAGGAAUAAGGGACGGCUAACUACGUGCCAGCAGCCGCGGUCAUACGUAGGUCCCAAGCGUUAUCCGGAAUCACUGGGCGUAAAGAGUUGCGUAGGCGGCUUAGUAAGUUGGUAGUGAAAGCGUGCGGCUCAACCGCAUAAUCAUUAUCAAAACUGCUGAGCUAGAGUAUAUGAGAGGUCACUGGAAUUCCUUGUGUAGGAGUGAAAUCCGUAGAUAUAAGGAGGAACACCAAUGGCGUAGGCAGGUGACUGGCAUAUUACUGACGCUAAGGCACGAAAGCGUGGGGAGCGAACGGGAUUAGAUACCCCCGUAGUCC
Molecule: ribosomal RNA, 425 nt
Filed under: uncultured prokaryote
Description: bacterial SSU rRNA
Rfam family: Bacterial small subunit ribosomal RNA
Source: RNAcentral